GACGUAGGGUCCAAGCAUUAUCCGGAAUUAUUGGGCGUAAAGGGUAGGUAGGUGGCAAUGUAAGUUCAUGGUUAAAGUCCGCAGCUCAACUGCGGAAGCGCUGUGAAAACUGCAUAGCUAGAGACCAGCAGGGGCAAGUGGAAUUCCCGGUGUAGGGGUGAAAUCCGUUGAUAUCGGGAGGAACACCAGUGGCGAAGGCGGCUUGCUAGGUUGGAUCUGACACUGAGCUACGAAAGCGUGGGGAGCGAAACGG
This 253-nucleotide unclassified non-coding RNA is filed under the name uncultured Candidatus Berkelbacteria bacterium. RNAcentral's name for it is "contains 16S-23S intergenic spacer region". It matches the Rfam family "Bacterial small subunit ribosomal RNA", at positions 524 to 776 of the family's 1533-position model. Lineage: Bacteria; Candidatus Berkelbacteria. The record is from RNAcentral.